This 487-nucleotide ribosomal RNA is filed under the name uncultured bacterium. RNAcentral's name for it is "partial 16S ribosomal RNA". It matches the Rfam family "Bacterial small subunit ribosomal RNA", at positions 29 to 504 of the family's 1533-position model. The record is from RNAcentral.
AAUGAACGCUGGCGGCAUGCCUUACACAUGCAAGUCGAACGGCAGCAUGACCUAGCUUGCUAGGUUGAUGGCGAGUGGCGAACGGGUGAGUAAUGCAUCGGAACGUGCCUUUUAGUGGGGGAUAACGUAGCGAAAGUUACGCUAAUACCGCAUAUUCUCUGAGGAGGAAAGCAGGGGACCUUCGGGCCUUGCGCUAGAAGAGCGGCCGAUGUCGGAUUAGCUAGUUGGUGAGGUAAAGGCUCACCAAGGCAACGAUCCGUAGCGGGUCUGAGAGGAUGAUCCGCCACACUGGGACUGAGACACGGCCCAGACUCCUACGGGAGGCAGCAGUGGGGAAUUUUGGACAAUGGGCGCAAGCCUGAUCCAGCCAUGCCGCGUGAGUGAAGAAGGCCUUCGGGUUGUAAAGCUCUUUCGGCUGGGAAGAAAUCGCACCCUCUAAUACAGGGUGUGGAUGACGGUACCAGCAUAAGAAGCACCGGCUAACUAC